RNAcentral lists this ribosomal RNA (274 nucleotides) under uncultured bacterium. RNAcentral's name for it is "partial 16S ribosomal RNA". It matches the Rfam family "Bacterial small subunit ribosomal RNA", at positions 523 to 796 of the family's 1533-position model. The record is from RNAcentral.
AUACGGAGGGUGCAAGCGUUAAUCGGAAUUACUGGGCGUAAAGCGUACGUAGGCGGUUCGUUAAGUUAGAUGUGAAAGCCCCGGGCUUAACCUGGGAACUGCAUUUAAAACUGGCGAACUAGAGUGGAGUAGAGGGGAGUGGAAUUUCAGGUGUAGCGGUGAAAUGCGUAGAGAUCUGAAGGAACACCAGUGGCGAAGGCGACUCCCUGGACUCGAACUGACGCUGAGGUACGAAAGCGUGGGUAGCAAACGGGAUUAGAUACCCUAGUAGUCC